UCCUUGUCCAUAUUCUUAGCAGGCGCCACAUUAUCGAUCUUUUCUUCUGUCCUAACACCAGUAAAGAAGCUUUAUGUUGCUUUGCUUCUUCAACAACCACAGCUCCUUUCUCUUUUCCUUCUUGCAUGACUAUCUCCACUUGUACUCCUGGUUUCCUUGUUUGGCACAUAUUUUUCAUGGAGCAAAGAAGUUCAUACGCCCUCUGAUUAAUUUCACUGUUUGCUUUUUCACCUAAAUCAUAAUAAACUGAACAUAAUUAGUUAAGAAGUUAAAAAAACUAGCUGAGCGCUAAGCUCAGUGACAGAGCCAGAAUUUUAAUUCACGAGUCUAAAAGAUUUACCUUUGUUUGAGAUUUUGCUAACAUAAAGAAG
This 371-nucleotide unclassified non-coding RNA is filed under the name Hevea brasiliensis (rubber tree). The record is from RNAcentral. Lineage: Eukaryota; Viridiplantae; Streptophyta; Magnoliopsida; Malpighiales; Euphorbiaceae.